GCAGGUGCGAAAGCAGGUCAUAGUGAUCCGGUGGUUCUGAAUGGAAGGGCCAUCGCUCAACGGAUAAAAGGUACUCCGGGGAUAACAGGCUGAUACCGCCCAAGAGUUCAUAUCGACGGCGGUGUUUGGCACCUCGAUGUCGGCUCAUCACAUCCUGGGGCUGAAGUAGGUCCCAAGGGUAUGGCUGUUCGCCAUUUAAAGUGGUACGCGAGCUGGGUUUAGAACGUCGUGAGACAGUUCGGUCCCUAUCUGCCGUGGGCGCUGGAGAACUGAGGGGGGCUGCUCCUAGUACGAGAGGACCGGAGUGGACGCAUCACUGGUGUUCGGGUUGUCAUGCCAAUGGCACUGCCCGGUAGCUAAAUGCGGAAGAGAUAAGUGCUGAAAGCAUCUAAGCACGAAACUUGCCCCGAG
RNAcentral lists this ribosomal RNA (411 nucleotides) under Salmonella enterica. RNAcentral describes it as "partial 23S ribosomal RNA". It matches the Rfam family "Bacterial large subunit ribosomal RNA", at positions 2393 to 2803 of the family's 2925-position model. The record is from RNAcentral. Lineage: Bacteria; Pseudomonadati; Pseudomonadota; Gammaproteobacteria; Enterobacterales; Enterobacteriaceae. RNAcentral also lists the same sequence under 1 other name.